GGUGCAGUGGCUAAAGCGCUUGGCUACUAACCAUAAGAAUGGUGGUUUGAACCCACUCAGCCCCU
Molecule: transfer RNA, 65 nt
Filed under: Loxodonta africana (African savanna elephant)
Lineage: Eukaryota; Metazoa; Chordata; Mammalia; Proboscidea; Elephantidae
Rfam family: tRNA
About the family: Transfer RNA (tRNA) molecules are approximately 80 nucleotides in length. Their secondary structure includes four short double-helical elements and three loops (D, anti-codon, and T loops). Further hydrogen bonds mediate the characteristic L-shaped molecular structure. tRNAs have two regions of fundamental functional importance: the anti-codon, which is responsible for specific mRNA codon recognition, and the 3' end, to which the tRNAs corresponding amino acid is attached (by aminoacyl-tRNA synthetases). tRNAs cope with the degeneracy of the genetic code in two manners: having more than one tRNA (with a specific anti-codon) for a particular amino acid; and 'wobble' base-pairing, i.e. permitting non-standard base-pairing at the 3rd anti-codon position.
Source: Rfam by way of RNAcentral